This 127-nucleotide ribosomal RNA is filed under the name Paenibacillus polymyxa. Its description in RNAcentral is "partial 23S ribosomal RNA". It matches the Rfam family "Bacterial large subunit ribosomal RNA", at positions 2792 to 2925 of the family's 2925-position model. The record is from RNAcentral. Lineage: Bacteria; Bacillati; Bacillota; Bacilli; Caryophanales; Paenibacillaceae.
GCCCCCCUCAAGAUGAGAUUUCCCAAUUAGUAAGACCCCUUGAAGACGACGAGGUAGAUAGGUUGGGGGUGGAAGUGCAGUAAUGCAUGGAGCUGACCAAUACUAAUCGGUCGAGGGCUUAUCCUAA